RNAcentral lists this ribosomal RNA (323 nucleotides) under uncultured eukaryote. RNAcentral describes it as "partial 18S ribosomal RNA". It matches the Rfam family "Eukaryotic small subunit ribosomal RNA", at positions 1470 to 1796 of the family's 1831-position model. The record is from RNAcentral.
CCCUUAGAUGGUCUGGGCCGCACGCGUGCUACACUGAACGGUUCAAUGGGUAAGGUAGUGCGAAAGCAUGACCUAAUCUCGAAAUCCGUUCGUGCUGGGGAUAGAAGCUUGCAAUUAUCCUUCUUGAACGAGGAAUACCUUGUAAGCGUGAGUCAUCAUCUCACGCUGAAUACGUCCCUGCCCUUUGUACACACCGCCCGUCGCUCCUACCGAUUGAGUGUUCCGGUGAGGCUUUGGGAGAAUGGCCUCAACAUGAGUUUAUCGUGUUUUGCCGUUUGAACUUAGUCAAACCUUAUCACUUAGAGGAAGGAGAAGUCGUAACA